CCUACGGGUGGCUGCAGUAGGGAAUCUUCCACAAUGGACGACAGUCUGAUGGAGCAACGCCGCGUGAGUGCAGAAGGGUUUCGGCUCGUAAAGCUCUGUUGGUAGUGAAGAAAGAUAGAGGUAGUAACUGGCCUUUAUUUGACGGUAAUUACUUAGAAAGUCACGGCUACCGACGUUCCAGCCGCCGCGUUAAUACGUAGGUGGCAAGCUUUGUCCGGAUUUAUUGGGCGUAACGCGAGUGCAGGCGGUUCAAUAAGUCUGAUGUGAAAGCUUUAGGCUCAACCGGAGAAUUGCAUCAGAAACUGUUGAACGUGAGUGCAGAAGAGGAGAGUGGAACUCCAUGUGUAGCGGUGGAAUGCGUAGAUAUAUGGAAGAACACCAGUGGCGAAGGCGGCUCUCUGGUCUGCAACUGACGCUGAGGCUCGAAAGCAUGGGUAGCGAACAGGAUUAGAUACCCGAGUAGUC
RNAcentral lists this ribosomal RNA (465 nucleotides) under uncultured bacterium. Its description in RNAcentral is "partial 16S ribosomal RNA". It matches the Rfam family "Bacterial small subunit ribosomal RNA", at positions 338 to 795 of the family's 1533-position model. The record is from RNAcentral.